RNAcentral lists this ribosomal RNA (401 nucleotides) under uncultured microorganism. RNAcentral's name for it is "bacterial SSU rRNA". It matches the Rfam family "Bacterial small subunit ribosomal RNA", at positions 9 to 404 of the family's 1533-position model. The record is from RNAcentral.
GAGUUUGAUCGUGGCUCAGGAUGAACGCUGGCGGCGUGCCUAACACAUGCAAGUCGAACGGAUCCAUAUUGAGACCUAGUGAUGUAUGGAUUAGUGGCGGACGGGUGAGUAACGCGUGGAUAACCUGCCGUAUACAGGGGGAUAACACUUAGAAAUAGGUGCUAAUACCGCAUAAGCGCACGGUUCCGCAUGGAACAGUGUGAAAAACUCCGGUGGUAUACGAUGGAUCCGCGUCUGAUUAGCCAGUUGGCGGGGUAACGGCCCACCAAAGCGACGAUCAGUAGCCGGCCUGAGAGGGUGAACGGCCACAUUGGGACCGAGACACGGCCCAAACUCCUACGGGAGGCAGCAGUGGGAAUAUUGCGCAAUGGGGGAAACCCUGACGCAGCAACGCCGCGUGC